GCUUGCUUCAGCAACGCACAUACUGGAAUUGGAACGAUACUGAGAAGAUUGGCCUGGCCCCUGUGCAGGGGUGACAUGCAAAUUCGUGAAGCGUUCCGUAUUUUU
Molecule: small nuclear RNA, 105 nt
Organism: Nycticebus coucang (slow loris)
Lineage: Eukaryota; Metazoa; Chordata; Mammalia; Primates; Lorisidae
Source: RefSeq, a predicted model, not a curated record